AUGGACCGAAGAGGUAUUUCUCCAACCAUUGUUACUUACACAUCUGUUAAACGAGCAACCGUGUUGUUCAAUCAGAUGUGUCCAUCUAUCACUGAUUUGGAGGACCGUGAUCUUAGACUGGUCACUGAUAUUGUUGGGGGUACCAUACGUUGGAAGCGAUAUCUUGAUCAGUUAAUCAGUUCAUGUUGUGAUGCAAGCACAUUUAGCAGGAUGGGACCACUUCUUUUACAGAUUCUCCGAAUUGGUUUCUUCGAGAUUGUCAAGCUCAAUAUGCCACCAUAUGCUGUUGUGGAUGAGGAGCUAGAGAAAUGUGGACAUGGUGCUGGAAACAUGGUCAGUGGGAUUCUCCGGAAGCUUGUUAUACUUAAGGAAAGUAACUCUCUUCCUCUACCCAAAAUGUGGAGGGUGAUGAUCGCACACAAGCACUUGCUCUUGCCACUCUGUACUCUCAUCCUGUAUGGAUGGUAAGGCGAUGGACAAAGCAUCUAGGACAAGAAGAAACAAUUAAAUUGAUUACAUGGAAUAAUAGUGAUCCUAGUUUCAGCUUAAGGGCAAACAGUGGGAAAGGUUUUUCAAGAGCUGACCUUGUGACAAAGCUUAAUUUAUUGAAGGUCCCACAUGAGAUCUCUUUGCAUUUGAAUGAUUUUGUCUGUAUGAAAAAAGGGUUGCAGAUUGUAAUUCAGGCUGGUUUGCUAAAAGUAGGUUUAUGUUCAGUACAGGAUGAGAGUGCAGGUCUGGUAGUUUCUGUUGUAGAUCCUCAACACUGUGAAAGCAUUAUAGAUUGCUGUGCUGCUCCUGGAGGAAAGACUCUUUACAUGGCAUCUCUUUUGAGUGGCCAAGGUAUGGUAUAUGCAAUUGACAUGAAUGAAGGGCGAUUGAGAAUCCUCAAAGAAACGGCUAAGUUGCACCAAGUAGAUGGUGUCAUCACAACUAUCCAUGCUGAUAUGCGUAGUUAUGCUGACAACAAUACUAUGAAGUUUCACAAAGUUCUGUUGGAUGCUCCAUGGUCUGGAGUCGGUGUUCUCACCAAGAGGGCAGACUUGCGUUGGAACAGGAGAUUAGAGGACAUGGAAGAGCUCAAGAAUUUGCAGGAUCAGCUCCUUGAUGCAGCUACUCAAUUGGUCAAGCCUGGUGGAGUAUUAGUAUACAGUUCUUGCUCCAUAUAUCCGGAAGAGAAUGAAGAGAGAACUGCUGCAUUUCUUCUCAGGCACAGUAUUUUUUGCAUAGAUCCUGCUGACAAAUAUGUUCCAUCUGAAUUUGUCGCUGAAUUGACAGCUAGCUGCGAUCAGCUCUAUUCACAUUACAUGCGAGCUGAACCAAUUCAUGAUUUAAAGUUUGCCUAUGCACCAAGCACAGUGGAUAUGUGUACAACUAUGGAUGAGUUGAUACAGCAAUUGAUCACAAAGAUUAAUGGGGGAGGUGGUGUUGGCGGUUGUGUUCAUAUGUAG
Fragaria vesca subsp. vesca is the source of this 1448-nucleotide RNA transcript. It is a transcript of the gene named ribosomal RNA small subunit methyltransferase B-like, with no coding region annotated. The transcript has 18 exons. Lineage: Eukaryota; Viridiplantae; Streptophyta; Magnoliopsida; Rosales; Rosaceae. The record is from RefSeq and is a predicted model, not a curated record.